Molecule: ribosomal RNA, 253 nt
Filed under: uncultured bacterium
Lineage: Bacteria
Description: partial 16S ribosomal RNA
Rfam family: Bacterial small subunit ribosomal RNA
Source: RNAcentral
UACGUAGGGUGCAAGCGUUGUCCGGAAUUAUUGGGCGUAAAGAGCUCGUAGGCGGUUUGUUGCGUCGGCUGUGAAAUCCCGAGGCUCAACCUCGGGUCUGCAGUCGAUACGAGCAAACUAGAGUGUUGCAGGGGAGACUGGAAUUCCUGGUGUAGCGGUGAAAUGCGCAGAUAUCAGGAGGAACACCGAUGGCGAAGGCAGGUCUCUGGGCCGAUACUGACGCUGAGGAGCGAAAGCGUGGGGAGCGAACAGG